UACGUAGGGGGCGAGCGUUGUCCGGAUUUAUUGGGCGUAAAGAGCUCGUAGGCGGUUUGGCAAGUCGGGUGUGAAAACUCCGGGCUCAACUCGGAGACGCCACUCGAUACUGCCAUGACUCGAGUCCGGUAGGGGAGUGCGGAAUUCCUGGUGUAGCGGUGAAAUGCGCAGAUAUCAGGAGGAACACCGAUGGCGAAGGCAGGUCUCUGGGCAUUAACUGACGCUGAGGAGCGAAAGCAUGGGGAGCGAACAGG
This 254-nucleotide ribosomal RNA is filed under the name uncultured bacterium. RNAcentral describes it as "partial 16S ribosomal RNA". It matches the Rfam family "Bacterial small subunit ribosomal RNA", at positions 524 to 776 of the family's 1533-position model. The record is from RNAcentral.